This 69-nucleotide transfer RNA is filed under the name Fischoederius elongatus. RNAcentral describes it as "tRNA-Ser". Lineage: Eukaryota; Metazoa; Platyhelminthes; Trematoda; Plagiorchiida; Gastrothylacidae. The record is from RNAcentral.
GUGUAAGGGUUAAGGGCUCAUGGGUGAUUUGAAAUCAUUUAGUUCGUGUUAGAAGCGAUACAUACUUAG